GAUGAACGCUAGCUACAGGCUUAACACAUGCAAGUCGAGGGGAAACGGCAUUGAGUGCUUGCACUCUUUGGACGUCGACCGGCGCACGGGUGAGUAACGCGUAUCCAACCUUCCCAUUACUGUGGGAUAACCUGCCGAAAGGCAGACUAAUACCGCAUAGUCUUCGAUGACGGCAUCAGAUUUGAAGUAAAGAUUUAUCGGUAAUGGAUGGGGAUGCGUCUGAUUAGCUUGUUGGCGGGGUAACGGCCCACCAAGGCUACGAUCAGUAGGGGUUCUGAGAGGAAGGUCCCCCACAUUGGAACUGAGACACGGUCCAAACUCCUACGGGAGGCAGCAGUGAGGAAUAUUGGUCAAUGGACGGAAGUCUGAACCAGCCAAGUAGCGUGCAGGAUGACGGCCCUAUGGGUUGUAAACUGCUUUUGUAUGGGGAUAAAGUUAGGGACGUGUCCCUAUUUGCAGGUACCAUACGAAUAAGGACCGGCUAAUUCCGUGCCAGCAGCCGCGGUAAUACGGAAGGUCCAGGCGUUAUCCGGAUUUAUUGGGUUUAAAGGGAGCGUAGGCUGGAGAUUAAGUGUGUUGUGAAAUGUAGACGCUCAACGUCUGAAUUGCAGCGCAUACUGGUUUCCUUGAGUACGCACAACGUUGGCGGGAAUUCGUCGUGUAGCGGUGAAAUGCUUAGAUAUGACAAAAACUCCGAUUUGCGAAGGCCGCUGAGGGAAGCGCAACUGACGCUUAAGCUCGAAAGUGCGGGUAUCAAACAGGAUUAAUACCCUAGUAGUCCAAGGCGAAUUCACGGGGGGAGAGGGGGCUUUUCUGUUCCCCCCAACGUGGGGGAGGCCCCGGCGCGAACGUGGGGGGGUGGUGUGGAGGGGGUUUACGGGUGCGCCUUACCAAAAAAAAAGUUCCCAAGGCGAGGUGGGAGGUGAUAACUG
This 932-nucleotide ribosomal RNA is filed under the name uncultured Streptococcus sp. Its description in RNAcentral is "bacterial SSU rRNA". The stretch from base 1 to 827 matches the Rfam family "Bacterial small subunit ribosomal RNA", at positions 28 to 873 of the family's 1533-position model. The record is from RNAcentral. Lineage: Bacteria; Bacillati; Bacillota; Bacilli; Lactobacillales; Streptococcaceae.